AAAAUAGUUUGCCAAUGGGCUGAAGCCUGAAUUCUCACCAUUAGAAGCUUCACUUCUUUAGAAGAACAGUUUGAUUCGUUGAACUUUCAUUGGUUAUUGAUAAGAGGGAGGAAUCGCUGCCCAUGGGAGAAUGGAAUCCUAAGAAUUUCCCCUAUCAGCUUUGAAAGGUCAUUUAUUCUUGUAGCAUGGGAAUUUCCAGUGAGAAAGUCUAUCUUCUCUGACCCUUCUUCUCUACCUCCCUCCAUCCCAAGGUUAGUCUGCCCAGGGGGUAAA
Molecule: long non-coding RNA, 273 nt
Filed under: Monodelphis domestica (gray short-tailed opossum)
Lineage: Eukaryota; Metazoa; Chordata; Mammalia; Didelphimorphia; Didelphidae
Description: lncRNA (ENSMODG00000049588.1)
Source: RNAcentral